Molecule: ribosomal RNA, 471 nt
Filed under: uncultured bacterium
Lineage: Bacteria
Description: partial 16S ribosomal RNA
Rfam family: Bacterial small subunit ribosomal RNA
Source: RNAcentral
GACGAACGCUGGCGGCGUGCUUAACACAUGCAAGUCGAACGAUGAAGCGGUGCUUGCACCGUGGAUUAGUGGCGAACGGGUGAGUAAUACGUGAGUGACCUACCUUUGACUCUGGGAUAAGCCUGGGAAACUGGGUCUAAUACCGGAUACGACCAAUCUCUGCAUGGGGUGUUGGUGGAAAGCGUUAUGGAGUGGUUUUAGAUGGGCUCGCGGCCUAUCAGCUUGUUGGUGAGGUAAUGGCUUACCAAGGCGACGACGGGUAGCCGGCCUGAGAGGGUGACCGGCCACACUGGGACUGAGACACGGCCCAGACUCCUACGGGAGGCAGCAGUGGGGAAUAUUGCACAAUGGGCGCAAGCCUGAUGCAGCGACGCCGCGUGAGGGAUGACGGCCUUCGGGUUGUAAACCUCUGUUAGCAUCGAAGAAGCGAAAGUGACGGUAGGUGCAGAGAAAGCGCCGGCUAACUACGUG